GCGGGUGUAGCUCAACGGCUAGAGCUCCUGCCUUCCAAGCAGGACGUUGUGGGUUCGAAUCCCAUCACCCGCU
RNAcentral lists this transfer RNA (73 nucleotides) under Planctomycetia bacterium. RNAcentral describes it as "tRNA-Gly". It matches the Rfam family "tRNA". Rfam says of the family: Transfer RNA (tRNA) molecules are approximately 80 nucleotides in length. The record is from RNAcentral. Lineage: Bacteria; Pseudomonadati; Planctomycetota; Planctomycetia.